Molecule: long non-coding RNA, 4992 nt
Filed under: Sus scrofa (pig)
Lineage: Eukaryota; Metazoa; Chordata; Mammalia; Artiodactyla; Suidae
Description: lncRNA (ENSSSCG00025059277.1)
Source: RNAcentral
GAUCCAUCCAUGUUGCUGCAAGUGGCACUAUUUCAUUCUUUUUUAAUGGCUGAGGAGAUUGCCAUUGUAUGUAUAUAAAUAUACACACACACCACAUCCUCUUUAACCAUUCAUCUGUCAAUGGACAUUCAUCUAUGAAUGCUUUCAUGUCUUGGCUAUGCCAAUAUGCAUCUAUGAAUAUUGUGGUGAAUGUAUCUUUUCAAAUUAGAGUCUUCUCUGGAUAUAUGGCCAGGAGCAGGAAUGCUGGAUUAUAUUGCAACUUUCUUUAGUUUAAUUUUUUUUUUUUUUGGCAAACCCACAGUAUGCAUAAGUUCCCUGGCCAGGGAUCAAACCUGCACCAUAGCAGUGACAACACUGGAUACUUAACUGCUAGGCCACCAGGAAACUCCCUAUUUUUGGGUGUUUAAGGAACUUCCAUACUGUUUUCCAUAGGAGCUGCACCAAUUUACAUUCUCACCAGUAGUGUAGGAGGAUUCCCUUUUCUCCACACCCUCUCUAGCAUUUACUAUUUGUAGACUUUUAAUGACGGCAAUUCUGACCAGUGUGAGGUGAUACCUCAUUGUAGUUUUGAUUUGCAUUUCCCUGAUAAUUAUCAAUGUUGAGAAUCUCUUCAUGAGCCUACUGAGCUAUUUGUCAUCUUCAGAAAUAUGUCUAUUUAGUCUUCUGCCCAUUUUUUUGUUUCUUGGUAUUGAGUUGUAUGAGCUGUUUGUAUAUUUUAGAAAUUAAGCCUUUGUCAGUCACAUCAUUUGCAAAUAUUUUUUCCCAGUCCAUAGGUUGUCUUUUCAUUUUGUUAAGAUUGUAAAUUUGAUUGUGCCCCAUUUUGUUUAUUUUUACUUUUAUUUCUAUUGCCUUGGGAGACUGACCUAAGAAACUCUGCUAUGAUUUUUGUCAGAGAAUGUUUUGCCUAGUUCACCUCUAGGAGUUUUAUGGUGUCAUGUCUUAUAUUUAAGUGUUUAAGCCAUUUUGAGCUUAUUUUUGUAUAUUGUAUGAGGGAGUGUUUUAAGUUCAUUUAUUUACAUGUGGCUGCUCAGCUUGUCCAAGACUACUUGCUAAAGAGACUGUCUUUACUUCAUUAUAUAGUCUUGUCUCCUUUUGUUGAAGAUUAAUUGACUAUGGGUGUGUGGGUUUAUUUCUGGACCCUCUAUUCCCUUCCAUUGAUCCCUAUGCCUGUCUUUGUGACAAUACUGUGCUGUUUUGAUUACUGCAGCUUUGUAGUAUUGUCUGAAGUCUGGGACAGUUAUGCCUCCAGCUUUUCUCAGGAUUGCUUUGGCACUUGUGGGUCUUUUAUGAUUCCAUGUAAAUUUUAUGAUAAUUUAUUCUAGUUUUGUGAACAAUGUCAUGGGUAAUUUGAUAGGGAUCCUAUUAAAUUAGUUGAUUGCUUUGGGUAGUAUGGCCAUUUUAACAAUGUUAAUUCUUCCAAUCCAAGAGCAUGGGGUAUCUUUCCAUUUCUUUGGAUCAUCUUAAAUUUACUUUAUCAAUAUUUUAUAGUUCUCAACAUACCGGUCUUUCACCUCCUUAGUCAUGUUUAUUCUUAAGUUUUCUGUGUUUGGGCUGUGGGAUGGAAAUCCUGUAAAAUUGGAUUGUUAUGAUCAUUAUACAACUACAGAUGUGAUUAAAUUCAUUUGAGUAAUAAAAAAAUACUAAAAAAAAUAAAAGCUAUUGUUUUUAUUUUUAAAACACAACCUGUAUUUUUUAGCAUUUCCCCAGUGGUGCCCUUGUACAACAAAGGUUGAGAACCAUUACAGUUAUCACUCAACAAAUAUUUAUAAAACUGUGCUCAUCCAUACUAGGAAAUAAAAAAGAUUUCUAGAUUAUCUAGAAUAGGGUUUUUACAGGUCAUUCCUGCCUCUGAGAAAUCUAGACACAUGACUAUAUGGAGAGUAACUUAUUUUUUUAAGUUGCUUGGUUUUCCCCCAAAAAAUAAAGAAGAAAUCAAAAUGAGUACAAAUAGCAGAAGGUUGCUUAAACCUAAACAUCCAUUGUCAGAGGAUUGAUUAAAUAAUAAUGAUGUGCCUCAAAAUUGGAAUUCUAUAUAGCCACUGAUAGGGAAACUCUCUAGCUGCAGACAUACACCAAUACCCAAGACAGAGUAAAUGAAAAAACUAAGAUACAAAGCAAAAUUUGGUGGCUGUUUUGGGUUGUGUUCCUUAUCCCUGGUACCAUUGAAGUUGACUGUAUUUGCAGAAGAUGAGGCCAGACUAGAUUAGGGUGGGCUCAAGUCCAAUGACUGGUGUCCCUUUAAGAAGAGAUAAACUUGCAUACAGACCCAGAAGGUCACAUGAAGAUGGAAACAAAGAUUGGAGUGAUGGAGCCCCAGCAGCUAGGAUAGAGGAAGGGAACAGAUAGAUGUUCCCUCAGAACCUCCAGAAAAAGCAUAUCCUACCAACAACUAGAUUUUGGACCUCAAGCCUCCCUAUUGUGAGAAAGUAAGGUUCUAUUGUUUCAAGCCACCCAAUUUGUGGUGAUUUGUUAUGGCAGCCCUAGAAAACUAAUACAGUAGCUUAUCAUUUCUGGGAAUCUAUCUAUCUAUCUAUCUAUCUAUCUAUCUAUCUCUAUCUCUCUCUCUCUCUCUCUCUCUCUCUCUCUCUCUCUCUCUCUCUCUCUCUAUCAUCUAUCUAUCCAUCUAUCAAUACUAAAACUCUUUCCGAAAGGAUACCCAAGAAACUGAGGCCAAAAUGACUUCUGGGAAAGACAUGAGGAUGGCUGGGAGCAAGGGAAGAAAGAGAGAUUUACUUUUCAGUGCAUGCUCUUUUAUGUUUUUUGACUUUUGUACUAUAUUCAGAUGCUAUUUUAUUUCAUUUUCUUUUUUAGGGCUGCACCCAUGGCAUAUGUAAGUUCCCAGGCUAAGGGUAAAAUAGGACCUAUGCUAUAGCCACAGCAAUGCAGGAUCUGAGCUGUGUCUGAGACCUAUACCACAGCUCAUAGCAAUGCUGGAUCCUUAACCCACUGAGUGAGGCCAGGGAUCAAACCCAUGUCUUCAUGGAUACUAGUCAGGUUUGGUUACUACUGCACUGCCAUGGGAACUCCAAAUACUAUUUAUUUUUAAAAAAUCAAUGAUUUUACAAUAAUUGUGAUUUUUUUUCCCCCAGCUUGGGUCAGCUGCAGAAAUAACCCAAGAAAGCUGCUUUAACCUCUCAGGGCCUCAGACUUCACAACCAGAAAAUGGGGAUAAUAAUACCAAUUAUAGCCAACCCUUAAAAAAAUGCACCAACCCCUCACACAGUUGAAAAUCCACAUAUAACUUUACAGUUGGCCCUUUGUAUCUGUGGUUCUGCCUCUGGGGAUUCAACCAGUGUUGGAUGGUGUAGCACUGUGGUACAUCUUUAUUAAAAAAAAAUCUACACAUAAUUGGAUGCACACAGAUCCAACCUCUGUUAUUCAAGGGUCAACUGUACCUUACACACAGUGCAUGAUGUGCCUGGAAGGGUGCCUGGCAGAGAAAAGGGCUCAAGGAGGGAUCAUAUUGGCUAUGGUGUUUUUUUUUUUUUUUUUUUGUCUUUUCUAGGGCUGCACACAAGGCAUAUGGAGGUUUCCAGGUUAGGGGUCUAAUUGGAGCUGUAGCUGCUGGCCUAAGCCACAGCCACAGCAAUGUGGGAACCAAAACGCGUCUGUAACCUGUACCACAGCUCAUGGCAAAGCCGGAUCCUUAACCCACUGAGCGAGGCCAGGGAUCAAACCUGCAACCUCAUGGUUCCUAGUUGGAUUCGUUAACCACUGAGCCACUACAAGAACUCCUGGCUAUGGUUUUUAUGGCUAUUAUGUGAUUAAGGUGCCUGAAUAAUAGUUAAAAUCCAAACAAGGGAUCAUGGGUGGAACACUGGAAGGGCCACACUAAACUGUGGUGGCAACUAAUAAAGCUGGCACCUAAUCAAGGAUAGCAUCUGCUCCACGAAGGAGAUCUUCCUCAGCAGCCUUCCUCAACAGCAGCAGUGCCACCUUCAUAGCUGGAUAAUUCUAGGUUGUGGGUCUGUGCUGCACACAGUAGGUUUUAGCAUUGCUUGUCUUUGCCCACAAGGUGCCAGGAGUAUGUCUCCCUCAGUUGGGUUCAUCAAAGAAGACUCCUGACAAUGGCUCCCAUCCUCUGGUGAACAAAACUGGCUUAGCUGAGAACCACUAGUCCACAGAUUGGCAGUUCCCAACAUGUGCCACCCAGACCAGCAAUAAAUAUUACUGGGAACUUCUCAGAAAUGCAGAAUCUGGGCCCCAUCUCAGACCCACCGUAGCUGAACCUGCAUUUUAACAAGAUCUCCCUGUCACAUUAAAAUGUGAUCAGCAUUCAUCAACACCAGUGGCUCUCCCCUUCUCUUAUAAACAUAGGAAACCUUGCCCCUUUGAGUAAAAACACAUAUUACUGGCUCCUACCCAACCUGAGAAAGGGCUGGGAGUAGAUAUUUUAAAGUGAAUCUUAGGAUCAAGAAGUUUGGGGAAACUCUACCGUGUUUAUAUAGAGAAACAAAAUUUAGCAAUUCCUUUCUAGAAUUGCAUGGGCAGAGAGUGUCUUGGAUCCCAAACUUGUUCUCUGGAUAUUUAUCAAGUCCUCACUGAGCACUGGCCCAGGGACAAGUGGCUAAAAGAGACCCAUCUCCUGAGUGGCACCGAGCUGACAGCCCAAAGUGCACUGGAUGGCGCAGAAGUAGAGUCCAGCUGACAUUGUUAGAGAACUUCUACAUCUAACUGUGUUGGAAUCCUUUGACUUCCUGGUCCCAUAAGCAAAUAAAGUUUGGUUUUGGAAUUCCUGUUGUGGUUCAACGGUGAUGAACCUGACUAGUAUCCACAUGGAAGAGGGUUUGAUCCCUGGCCUCACUCCGUGGGUUAAGAAUCCAGCAUUGCUGUGACCUGUGGUGCAGGUCACAGACACAGCUCAAAUGCUGGGCUGCUCUAACUGUGGUAUAGCCUGGCAGCAGCAGCUCCGAUUCGACCCCUAGCCUGAGAACCUCCAUAUGCUGCAAAUGCAGCCCUAAAAAGCAAAAAAAAAAAAAAAAAAAAAAAAAA